This 3414-nucleotide long non-coding RNA is filed under the name Carica papaya (papaya). Its description in RNAcentral is "long non-coding RNA (CPAP_LNC015992)". Lineage: Eukaryota; Viridiplantae; Streptophyta; Magnoliopsida; Brassicales; Caricaceae. The record is from RNAcentral.
UAUCGUUAUUUUUCUAGCUGAUUAUAAGGAAAUAAACUAAUUACUGUCUUAAGUGUGUUGCAUCUGAAUAAACUUUGUGUAAGUUGUGCCUGGCCUUCUAAUAUGUUAUCCUUUAAGAGCUGAUGGCAUAUUUGGUUGAGUCGUGAAGGGAUUGCAUUCUGCAUGCAAUGUGAUUUUGUCUCUUUAUAUGGCUCUUUCUGGUGAAGGAUUCUGUUGCAUAGGUGCCCGCAAAGUUGGAAGAGGGACCACCUCUUCCCCGUCUUCACUUAUAUCCCAUUGAAGAUUUUGGUUGUCUCAGGCAUUUUGAGGCAUGGUUGAAUUUCAGCUAUUCAAAUCCCUACCUCAAGUUGUUAUUGUCGAUCUUUAUUUCCUUAAUCAAAGAGACUAAACAACAAGUUUAUCAGCAAAAGUGGACUUCCUGUGCAGUCAGCUGUGACAGAAACUAUCAAGCACCAUAAGCAAAACAUUCCAAGGGUUUCCAGGCAAGUAUAUUCUCUUUAGUUAUUUCCUCUUUUUUUCUUUCCUUCCCCUAUUAGCCUUUUUAGAUUGCUCCAAUUUAAGUGAGCUUGACUCAUUGUUGUCAUUAAGAAAAUAUGUUUAAUUAAACCUGGUUCCUCACAUUUUCUGCUCUGUUGAGUGAUUCACAAUUUAUUGGCUAAGCCACAUCAGAAGAUUAGUUAGAUCUAUUUUAUCAAAAUAGUUAAGGAAAAAAAAGCCUUGUCAGAAGAUAGGCUGAUAGGAACUUUGAAAUUCAUUAUGUGCUUCACUGUAUAAAGCAGGAAUAUGUCAGCAACGCAAUACCUAUUACUUAAAAGGACUUAUUACCCUAUUUUGUUGGUGAACUAGAAUUAAUUUGUUUUAUGAAUACUGGGAAGUUGUAAUCUUGAUUCAUGGCUGAACAUCAUGAAUCAAGAUUCCCGUCUUACUUGUAAUUGCUAAUUUUAUUUUCAAAAUUAUUGUCCGGUUAGGCACCAAGGUGGGUAUUAAUUGAUUGAUCAUUUAACGAAAUGAAUAUAUCUUUCAAAAUCUAUAGUUAUGAUAUGGUUUGAUAUUUGAAAUUUUUUUAUUAAAUGAAGAUUUUUUUUAUUUAGUAAAAUUACAAAUAAAGAUUGUAAAAUAAUUUGACCAAUUAAGAGGUUUUUAUAACAGUUUUAUGGAAAUUUAGGAUUUCGUGAGAUUAAAAUAUAAUGUGUAAUUUUAUUCAUGAAAAUAAUCGAAUGACAUUUUAUCAAUUCAUCAUGUAAUGAUAUAUAUUUAACUAAUAUAUGCAUGUACCAUAUAUAUUUUUAAUAAUCUUUAAUACUGUCAAACUAAAACAUUGUACUAAAAUUAUAAUGAGUUAUUAUUUAUUAUGAACAAAUAUUUUAAUGUAUUCGCAAUUCCAUGACAACAUUAUUCUAUUCCUGUUUAAUUACCUAUUUCAGCAAACAAAAUUACUGUUAAUGUUACUUCUAUUUUCUUCUAGUUUGUUCUGCAACUGGUACUUGAAGUGGUUUUGAGCAAAACUCUGGAUUCCCUACCUCUUUUACUUAAACAGUGACAUUUUAAGCACAGAAAGUUUAUCUUCUUAUACCUGAUUCAGACCCUAAGUUAUUAGAUGCGGGUUUCACAUUUAAUCAUAUCUAGUUAUAAACUUAAUGAGGAAACCUGAUGAUGAGCGAAAUAAAGUUUUGUGAAGUUGCUCAAACAACAAAUUGUUGAUUCUUCAAUAAUUUAGUAUCUCUUGUUAUUACAUUAUUAUUGCAGAUAAUUGUUGCUCCUUAUCAUGAAAAAGAAAAUUACCACCCCUAUGCACAGACUCAUCAUGCUCAAUGAGAACUUCUGAUGCAUGAGAGUAUUUUCUAAAUGAUAUCUCUGUGGUCUUAUUUGAGGAACCUUUUUGUCCACAGGUACUUCCCCAACUAAAUUUCCUGUUUAUAUGAAUGAUUUUAUGCUUAUAUGACUGACUUAUUGUGGUAAGUUAAGUAUGCAUGCGGUUGCUGUAAUUUACUGAUACAUUUCAAAUCGUAAUUAGAAAUGAUAGACAGACGAUGCUUUGGCAUCAAUUAAACGAAGCAACGCACUGCUCCUGUCUUGUUCUGCAUUACCUUUAAAGAGUUCAGACUUCACAAAAGCCAUGUAGUACUAUGAUUGCAACAGGCAGGUAGCCACUGUAAAAUAGAUAUUUUGAAGGAUAGUCUUGUAUUAUCACAAUUAUGAUUAAAUGUAACAUACAGCUCAAAUCAAGCAAUUGUUAGAUCAUGCUUACUGUUAUACAUGACAUUAUAUUCCAGUUAUGGACAGUUUUCUCCAAUUUUACUCCUCUUAUCUCAGAGAUAGGUUCCUCAAUUUUUUCUGAGAGAAGAAUACCAUACAGCUUUUCUUUACUCCUUCAUGUACAAGUCUAGAUGGCAGGGCAUCCCAUACAAAUUCUGGGAUGCUAGCUGAAGGAAAAUGUUAAAGACUAGAGAUCUCCGGUACACAGUUUCUUCUUGCAGUUAAUUUUUGGUCUUUGUUUUAGCACUUGUUGAUACUGCCCAAGUCUUAUCAUUUAUGGCAGAGGUUAUGAUGCAUAGCAGGAUGGUCUUUUUAUCAUAAUCUUUGGACUUCUUCUGAUCAUGAUCUUUGUACUCUGAAACAGCCAGUAUUUCUUUCUUUCAAGUUUGGAAAAUCAAUAUGUGAGUGUCUUUUAACAAUAUUCUCGUCUAUUGAUAUAUCUCAUUAUAUUUACCCAAAAAAUAAAUAUAUACACGCACAGACAGACACAUAUAUCUCUCUUUUUUUCUCUUUUCCCCCCUCAAUUAGGUAUUUGCUCCCGUGGAUUCUACCACCACUAACAGAAUCCCAGAAGAGGCUUUAAUGGGCUUCUGUUCUUGCUGCCUAAAAGGUGACCAUACUACUUUAUCAUGAUUUUUUAUGAACAUAUUGUGGAAUCUGGAGAUACAUACGUUAUAUAGUUAUAAAUUUCUGUAUAAUGUGUUCAAAUUACAUCAAUAGUUUUUUGUGAAUUGGCUAAUUUUUUGGAAAAAAAUGGAAAAUGUCAAUGUAUCUGGAAAUAAACGAUUAAUCUCGGUCAAUAUACCUGCUAAAGAACCGAACAUUAGGGUACUUAGAACAAUGUUAUGGAAAGAUAUGUUUUUAGAUGGCACAUUUGAAAUUCUCCUUUCUUCCUUUUUUGUAUUACAUUAUGAUAAUACAUAUAUAAGCAGAUGUAUGUAUAGUAAAUGACUAGUAUAUUUGUAUUUGUACACAGAAUGCUCAAUUACUUAUUCAAAAUUCAAAUUGAAAUGUAUUGAUAGAUAUAUAUAUAUAUAUUUUUUUUCUUAAAGCCGAAAUGUAAGUCCCUUUCCACCUUGAAGUGAAAAAUAUUCAUUUACUAUUUAACGUUAGAAUUUUUUUUUCUUCUUCUUCGAUAAUCCAUAAUUUGCCAUUUUG